UCGGUAAUAACAAUCCACAUCAACAAAUUCAUCGUUUGGUUAUCUUCUACCUUCUUUCUUAUUGGUCAGUUUCUAUACUGCAUGGAUAACAAUUCUUAACCUAACACACAAAUCUCUCUCUCUGUGACGCCUCCUUCUCCUCCAAUCCAUCACGUUUGACCUCCUUACCACCACCACCAUCGCCAUCUCUCCUUCAGCUUGUCACCACCACCACCGCUCAUUCACUCGUCACCACCACCAUCUCCAUCUUUCCCAUCCGCCAUCAUUCGUCACCACCACCAUCGCUUCUCAGAUUCGUCACCACCACCAUCCGCCAUCUCUCUCUCUCUCUCUCUCUCUCUCUCUCUCUCCACUCUCUGUUUCUCUUCUUCUUUUCCACUCUUGUAGUGCUCUCUCCCUCUCUCUUUCUCUCCUUUGAAUCUGAUUUUGAUUUGUUUUUUUGGUAAAGGAAGUUGGAGGAAGCACAAGAGGCCUGACGAGACGAGGUGACUGGAGGUCUCUCUUUUGUUCCAUCACCGAACUUCCGCAGACCAAGGUUGAGGCGGAGAGAACAGAUCCGGAGGCAGGAGGCGAAGAGGAGGUCCGAGAGAAGACAGAGCCAGAGGCUGGAGAAGACAGAACAUCGAGGCGGCUGAAUUUUUUUUUUUUAGGUCUAGUUUUUUUUUUAAUUUGGUUUAGUGUAAACCGAGAUAGGGAAAUGUAGUGGUUUGAUUUUAUUUUUAAUUUCUGGUUUAGUUUUGUAAGCCGGAAUGGAUUCAACAGAGACGACACAGAGGAGUUCAUUGAAACUUGGAUACAUGGACGAGUUAUCACCGGAAUGGUGCAGAAAACCUGUA
Molecule: long non-coding RNA, 836 nt
Organism: Brassica oleracea var. oleracea
Lineage: Eukaryota; Viridiplantae; Streptophyta; Magnoliopsida; Brassicales; Brassicaceae
Exons: 2
Source: RefSeq, a predicted model, not a curated record